GGGCGAUUAGCUCAGCUGGGAGAGCGCCGCAGUCACAUUGCGGAGGUCGCAAGUUCGAUCCUUGCAUCGCCCACCA
RNAcentral lists this transfer RNA (76 nucleotides) under Gammaproteobacteria bacterium. Its description in RNAcentral is "tRNA-Val". It matches the Rfam family "tRNA". Rfam says of the family: Transfer RNA (tRNA) molecules are approximately 80 nucleotides in length. Their secondary structure includes four short double-helical elements and three loops (D, anti-codon, and T loops). Lineage: Bacteria; Pseudomonadati; Pseudomonadota; Gammaproteobacteria. RNAcentral also lists the same sequence under 3 other names. The record is from RNAcentral.